AUGACUUACCCAGGAUCACAUGGCCAAUGUGCACAUAUGCGUGUGUGUAGGGGGGUAGAACUGGAACCCAGUUCUUCUGAACUCCAAGACCUCAGUGGGGCCCCCAGAACAAGGAGGACUUCAAUCUAACACUUCUCAUCCACUGGAGGAAGUUUAGGAAGCAGACCUGCCCAGCAUGUUCCCCUCUAAGGCUCCUCAUGGAAGAAAUCAGAGGCUCAGAGGUCACUGAGGCCAAAUCCCUCAUUUUCCAGAAAAGGAAACUGAGGCCCAGAGAAGGGAGCUGUGUGAGGUUGGGCAAGUCACCAAAUCUAUGGUGCUACGAUCUCUGUGGACAGGAUGGCGAGAUGGGAGCAAGAUGAUCGUACAGUUAGCUGGAUCUGAGGGAACUCUGGAUUCUUAAAGGGCCUUUGCAUUGGCUGCGUCCCAUGCCUGGAAAGCGCUCCCUCCUCAUCCUCUUAGAAGCUCCAACUUCCUGCAAAGCUCAGCUCUGCCACCUUCUACAGUAAGCUUUACCAAGUCUCCCCACUGCUAGGGUCUAAAAACAAAAAUUACCUUGUUCUAAUUUGUUUGCAAACAUGUUGUCUUCUGAUAGAAUGUAAGCUUCUCAAGAGCUGGGACUGUUUCCUUUUUGGCCUUAUAGUCCUAGGACCUAACACAGCACGUGGCACAUAACAGGCACUUAAUAAAUGUUGGAUUAAAACUAGA
This is a non-coding RNA of Phascolarctos cinereus (koala), 705 nucleotides long. The record is from RefSeq and is a predicted model, not a curated record. Lineage: Eukaryota; Metazoa; Chordata; Mammalia; Diprotodontia; Phascolarctidae.